Long non-coding RNA from Gallus gallus (chicken), 3976 nucleotides. The record is from Ensembl. Lineage: Eukaryota; Metazoa; Chordata; Aves; Galliformes; Phasianidae.
CUUGAGUUAUUGGAGCUCUUCCUUACCACCCUGAGUUAUUGGACCUCUUCCACCUGCCAUGCUCCACUCCUGGGAUUGAGAGCCUUCACAAUCUCUUUGCAUCAGUGUGGUUUUUUUUAAGUCAGUGGGGUUAGUGAAUCUUUAUUUUUCAAGUGGUCAGAAGGGUCCUGGCUGUGUGCCGGUAUGAGCUUACGGCACAAACAAAAAGGAGUUGGAAACCUCAUUAUGUUGCCCUGGUAAUGUUGUCUGCAUUGUUUGCUGCAUGUGUAGCCAUUGGCAAUGCCGUUUGGUCUGUGUGUGCUCCGUCUGAGGAGCAGAACCCGGAAGUGAUAACUUGUGUUUUGAGAUCGUUAUCGCGUGUGCUAAGUUUAGUCUCUCUUAAAUCAGUUCUGGAGGACUCCAUAGGUGAAUGCUCUUCCACAAUUUGCACAGCACUCGCUCCUGCUGCAUGCAGCCCAAACCUGUUCACCUAAUGCCAGGUCCCACCUUACUGAGUGAGUUUUCCAUCUGCACAGCUGCAAUCUCACGGAGAGAUUGAAGCGUGGGCGAGCACAGGCACAUGUGAGUGAACUAGAUGUAUGCAAAAGGUGAGUCUUGCUUGCCUUCACUCUUGGAGCAGCAUUACUCCUAAAGGAGGAAGAAGACUACCUUGAAAAAGUGUUCUUGGAUACGGGGUGAAGUUGCAGCACUGCCCUUGAAGCCAAGAAAUUUACUUCUAAUUUAUACACAGGUGUGAAAAUACUACAAAAUGCAACCACAAAAGGUGACACGGGAGAAAUAGGAAAACAGGAGGGCUGAACACUGCUGUUUCCCUGCAUCUCCAGCCAGCAGCGGCUGUGGGCUUCUUCUGAGCUCGUGGACUUCCUCCUCCAAGGCACUUCCAGCAGCAGUUACCUAGAGGAAAGCACAAGGGCAGACUGAGCGUGUUUCUUCGGAUAGUUUUACAGCAUGCUGGUGGCCAGCAGGAUUGUUUGAAGGAGGAGAAACCUGCUUCAUGCAUCCCAUGUCCCUGCAUCUUCUGGAAGCUGGACAGGUUCCGCAGCUCUCGAUGCCCUCUCCAAGCAGGAGUCCUGGGCUGAUGGAAGUGGGCAGUGUCUUCUCCAGAAGCACCCAGCCAGGAGCCAGCUAACAAAAGAAAUCCAGAGAAGAGCAAAAAGCGUUGUGUUUAUGAAGAACAAUUGAACAGGCCAGACAUCUCCAGCCUGUGAGGGAUACAGCAGAGGUCUAUAAAAUCAUGAGUGGCCUGGAAAAAAAUGAAUUGAUUGCUGCUCUUACCUGUUUCCAGAAAAAGCACUUUCAGAAGAAACCAAAGCUCCAGGAGCUCGUGUUCAAGAAGUGAAACGGAGCCAACAUCUGAUUAAGGCAGAUUCGGUCAGGUCAGGGAAAUGAGCUUCCCCAGGGACUUUCUACUGCUGCUGAAAGAGCUCAAGGUUUAAGACUCCUAUCUGCCCCACAGAAACAGAAAUGAUGGGAAUGUGGUUGCCACAGAUGAGGCUAAACUUCACCACUUACAGGAUGACUGGCUUUCUCAGGACACUGGGUGAAGAUCAGCUUGAGAAGAGGCAGCAGAUACAGAAGAUGAUGACCCAGCUACCUGGAAGAGAAACAACAGAGUCUCAGGAGAAUGUGGGCAGCAAGGGGUUUUCUUGAAGAUGCUCACAGCAGAGAACCCUCCAAGUAUGGAGUAAAAAGCCAGUUCUGUACUGUAAAGCAAUAGAUUCCAGCAGCCAAAGAGGGAAAAGAAAUGAUUGCCAACGUGCUUUCCCUCCAGCAAGCUGGAAAGUAAAUUUGAAACUGAGUGUGAACAGUAAGCAGCUCGUGUGGUGAGUCAGAGUGAGGUCUUGCAUUAGAAUUGAAAAGUCAUAGUGUACAUUUCUGCUCAUGAGUGAAACCUGGACUUCCUUUUCAGUGCCUUCUUAGGACAUGCCAGCCCUGUCAGCAGUCAUGGCCUGGUCUUAGAAAUGAAACUUAUUUUGUUAGGCCCUGCCUUGGGUCACUGCCCAUGGCGGCCUGUCUCUUUUGCAUCGUGCCAUCUUCACUUGUGGGAGCAAUGGGCUUGGUUUUGGAUCUCGUUCUAACCACUGUUUAUGCAGCCACCUCCUUGUGCCAAACCAAGCUGGACUCCAAGGCCACGUCUGUGCUCUCUGGAACAGCACUGGUGCAAUCUUGAUUCCUGUCUGGUUGGUAUUGGCAGCUGGAUUAUCAAGAUGUCUUGAGAAAGUACUUCUGCAAGUAUUUUUCAUAUAAUCAGAGCUGUUAGCAGUGAAAUAUCUUCCCCAGAAAGGAUUCUCCUGAGCUGCACACCGUGACUGCUGCCUUGACAUUCUCCCAAGCUGACAUCCCGACCGGUAUGACACUGAUGCCUUUGGGCAGAAAUCAGAGCCGGUUUGCUACAUGCCUCCAUGUAGCCACGAUGCCUGUAGCGCCUCUGAGAGCCCCCAGUGCCCUGGUGGGGAAAUGGAGCGAGCACGUGGGCCCCAGAUGAACUCCAGGGAGAGAGCAGGCAUUUUCCGUGGUGAUCCUGCUACCCGUUUCCAGUUGUUGAGCUGGCUGGAAGAGAAGCCCUCCGACCGUCUGCUUUAUAUUCAGAUUUCAGAUUUGAGUCCUCACUUAAAGGCACAGCUGUCCCUUGACUUCAGCUAAUUGCCACGUUCCCUUGAAGGAGUGAUGCCUCUCCCAAGCUUCUGUGCUAGCAUCAAGAGAGAACUGAUCUAUGGGCUACUCAGUGGUUACUUACAUCAUUCUUGUGCUUCCAGCCACGUGACCUGACCGCAGGCUUUCAAAAGGUGGCUGCCUGGCUGUUACAAUUUAUCAUGAAUGCAUCUCACUUCACUUUUGGCUCCUCUGACGGAAGGAACAGCCGGUCUCUGGGAGAUCUUGAAAGCAAACAAUAAAAGCCGUAAUGAAAGAAAGCAGCUCAUGCGCAUGGGGAGUACAAGCCAAGCCAUGUCCAUGCCCAAGCAAGUUCAGCAGCCAAUACAAACACCACCACUGUGUUUUGGAAACUCUGCUGGCCUCUCUGGAUUUUGGGAGCCAACACGGUGACGGAAGCCGAUGGCGAAAGCAGUGAGCGAAAACCUCAAAGCUGUGAAAACCGGAAUUUGCCAGCCAUCCAGCUGGACCAGAGGUACCACCACCCAUCUGCUGCACAGCCCCUCACUGCGAGAAGUCCUCCUCACAGAGCUCACUUUAAGGUCUGCUUCACUGCAGCCUUGCAGGAGGCACUCACCUCCACAUUGUCACCAAGCCAACAUGCCACCUCCUCGGCCAGGAGAAUUGCCCCCAAAGGCUCCAGCAGCACCAAGAGAGACCUCACCCAAACUCCCCACCCAGCACACCAGCGCACUGAGAGACAGAUUAUUUGGGAAUCCUCCUCUGCCUUCCCACAAUGCCCUCUGUAGGCUCCGGAGGAACAGAGCAGGAGGUUCCCAGUGUGUGGGGAGCGGGGCUGGGGCUGCGCGAUCCCAUCGGUGCCAGGUGCCCAGGGCAGAUCCACAGUGACGAGCACUAUUUCCUUUAGGAUUUUGAGAUCAGUGCCUCUGUUUUCCAGAUGAGAAAGCCACAGCAUGGUGGUUUCUUUUUGGCCAUCCAGCAGCUCUGUGGUAGAUCCAGCAGCAGGACCAGGAACACAGACAUUCGGGAGUUGGAGGAAAAGGAUGAAGGAUGUCUCAUACAGAUGACAUUAAAUUCUUCUAGCAGAAUGUUGCAUAAACCCAACUGUCAGGUAGUAAAGACAGAUUCCAAGUCUGGAUCUUUGAAGGACAUUUCUUUGGUAGGAAAAUGAGGGGACGUCGGUGGCACUAAUGCACGGAGUGGCACACAGGUGUGCUGUUGCAGCAGCGUAAGCCAGGAUGAGUUUUGAGGAGCGUUGUUGACACUUUUCAGAUGUGUUGUUUCAUACACUGGGAAGCGCCUAACAAGAAAAACGUGUGUUUAUGAAAACCCCAGACACAGCGUCCCCACGGCCAGACCCUUC